RNAcentral lists this ribosomal RNA (288 nucleotides) under Triticum aestivum (bread wheat). RNAcentral describes it as "partial small subunit ribosomal RNA". Lineage: Eukaryota; Viridiplantae; Streptophyta; Magnoliopsida; Poales; Poaceae. The record is from RNAcentral.
AUGGUGGCGGCGGCGCCCUCUGGCGGCGGAGGAGGGGGGAGAUGGUGGCGGCGGCGCCCUCUGGUGGCGGAGGAGGAGGGGGGAGAUGGUGGCGCGGCGGCGACCUUCCCCUCACGCAUCCCAUCCCCCCUCGUCAUCCCGGAUCUCACCGAACCCGAGGCGUGCGGGCGCGGCAGCGACCUGCAAGGGAAGGGCGACGCUCGAAUCGAUCCAGCCAUGGAUCGGUCCCUGCGGGAGAAAGAGAAAAUGAGGACCUCCGUGCUCAACAGGAGGAGCCGGGGUUGCUGA